AGUGAACGCUGGCGGUAGGCCUAACACAUGCAAGUCGAACGGCAGCACAGUAAGAGCUUGCUCUUACGGGUGGCGAGUGGCGGACGGGUGAGGAAUACAUCGGAAUCUACUUUUUCGUGGGGGAUAACGUAGAGAAACUUACGCUAAUACCGCAUACGACCUACGGGUGAAAGCAGGGGAUCUUCGGACCUUGCGCGAUUGAAUGAGCCGAUGUCGGAUUAGCUAGUUGGCGGGGUAAAGGCCCACCAAGGCGACGAUCCGUAGCUGGUCUGAGAGGAUGAUCAGCCACACUGGAACUGAGCCACGGUCCAGACUCCUACGGGAGGCAGCAGUGGGGAAUAUUGGACAAUGGGCGCAAGCCUGAUCCAGCCAUACCGCGUGGGUGAAGAAGGCCUUCGGGUUGUAAAGCCCUUUUGUUGGGAAAGAAAAGCAGCAGGUUAAUACCCAGCUGUUCUGACGGUACCCAAAGAAUAAGCACCGGCUAACUUCGUG
This 492-nucleotide ribosomal RNA is filed under the name uncultured bacterium. RNAcentral describes it as "partial 16S ribosomal RNA". It matches the Rfam family "Bacterial small subunit ribosomal RNA", at positions 29 to 507 of the family's 1533-position model. The record is from RNAcentral.